UAACUGAAGAGUUUGAUCAUGGCUCAGAUUGAACGCUGGCGGCAGGCUUAACACAUGCAAGUCGAGCGGGGGAAGGUAGCUUGCUACUGGACCUAGCGGCGGACGGGUGAGUAAUGCUUAGGAAUCUGCCUAUUAGUGGGGGA
Molecule: ribosomal RNA, 143 nt
Filed under: Acinetobacter baumannii
Lineage: Bacteria; Pseudomonadati; Pseudomonadota; Gammaproteobacteria; Moraxellales; Moraxellaceae
Description: partial 16S ribosomal RNA
Rfam family: Bacterial small subunit ribosomal RNA
Source: RNAcentral